Molecule: long non-coding RNA, 839 nt
Organism: Alligator sinensis (Chinese alligator)
Lineage: Eukaryota; Metazoa; Chordata; Crocodylia; Alligatoridae
Exons: 3
Source: RefSeq, a predicted model, not a curated record
CAGGCAAGGAGGAGAGGCGGCACUUUAACUCCUUCCAGGCGAGGGCUGUUCAUUUACCCGGCACGUUUUCUCUGGGCAGACUGAAAGCUGGACUAAUCGCAGCUCUCGGUGGAGAAGGUGGUGGUUGCACGUCCUGCGAAGGUCCAUGAGCGGUGAUUGCUGAUGUGUUUGCAUAGGAAACAUGGUCAUUCUACGACAGGGCAUCGCUAGGUGGAUAGUUUAAUUCCAGAUCAAUAACAGGCUUCAACUACAGAAAGAGAUGUUAAAAAAAGGAUGGCAUUCAAUCGUUCUCUGUGUCCACAGGGGCCAGGACACAAAGUAAUGGGCUUAAAUUGCAAUAAAGGAGAUUUCGAUUGGAUACUGUGAAGAACUUUCCAACUCGGAGGAUGGUUAAGCAUUGGGAGAGAUUGCCUCGGGAGAUUGUGGACUCUCCAGCAUUGAUGGUUUUGAAGAGCAGGGGAUGAGCUGGUUUAGACAAGGAUGCUCCUGCCUUGCACGGGGGGGUUGGACUAGAUGACCUCCAGAGGGCCCUUCCAACCCAGGUAUUUCUACACAUCUGUGAUGUGAAGAAACCUCAUCAUGGAUUACUGUUACUGUGUUCAGCAAUUCUAAACAUAUACGGUAGAGGGGGCUGCUAGUAUGCCGCAGAGCAGAUCACAGAGCGGAUUGGCCGUUUUCCAUCUCCUUCCUCUAAUGGGUGAAGUACCAUUUGGGCGAUUUUCCAAGCAAGAUGGGAAGGGGAGCUUUGACAAUGCUCAGGCAACUAACACAACGUUCUUCACGAGGGACUCUCCUCCGUACUUCUUUUUAAAGCUCAUCUGACAACCUUCCUGGGUUUU